AACACAUGCAAGUCGAGGGGUAACGGAAGUAGCUUGCUACUAGACGACGACCGGCGCACGGGUGAGUAACGCGUAUGUAAUCUGCCUUGUACAGAGGGAUAGCCCAGAGAAAUUUGGAUUAAUACCUCAUAGUAUUACCGAAUCGCAUGAUUUGGUAAUUAAAGCUCCGGCGGUACAAGAUGAACAUGCGUGACAUUAGCUAGUUGGUAAGGUAACGGCUUACCAAGGCCACGAUGUCUAGGGGUUCUGAGAGGAUGAUCCCCCACACUGGUACUGAGACACGGACCAGACUCCUACGGGAGGCAGCAGUGAGGAAUAUUGGUCAAUGGACGCAAGUCUGAACCAGCCAUCCCGCGUGAAGGAUGACUGCCCUAUGGGUUGUAAACUUCUUUUAUAUGCAAAUAAACCUACUUUCGUGAAAGUAGCUGAAGGUAGCAUAUGAAUAAACACCGGCUAACUCCGUGCCAGCAGCCGCGGUAAUACGGAGGGUGUAAGCGUNAUCCGGAUUUAUUGGGUUUAAAGGGUACGUAGGCGGUAAUAUAAGUCAGUGGUGAAAUCCUGCAGCUCAACUGUAGAACUGCCAUUGAAACUGU
Molecule: ribosomal RNA, 593 nt
Filed under: uncultured bacterium
Lineage: Bacteria
Description: bacterial SSU rRNA
Rfam family: Bacterial small subunit ribosomal RNA
Source: RNAcentral